This is an unclassified non-coding RNA of Orbicella faveolata, 2330 nucleotides long. Lineage: Eukaryota; Metazoa; Cnidaria; Anthozoa; Scleractinia; Merulinidae. The record is from RefSeq and is a predicted model, not a curated record.
AUUUGCCAGAAAUUUCUAGUCUUUUUUUUCUCACUAUGUCUUUUUACUAAUUAUUAUUUGUCCAAAAACCCAUAAAAAACAAUUUAAAUUUCAUCAACACAAACAAAUACAUAGUUGUUCAAGGAAAAUUGGAUCGAAUGUUUCAGUACGUGUUCACGCAGCGGAACACGUACCUCAUGAAGCCGGGAGUUUUAAAUUCUAGCAAGAGGGGAACAGAACAGAGAUAAUUGUGAGUGUAAAUGAUCAGGGAGGACUCUAGAUCUUUCGUUUUAUCCUUCCCUUCCUAGCACCUUUAGACGGUAUAGAAGGCUACAGAAGGCCUAGUACCUCAGUACUGGUACCUGUUUGGUACGCUUCGGUAGUAUAUCAAGCGAGUUUGGCUUAGCCGUGGUUCGUAUUUUGACGAACAUGUUUUGCCGCCGAAGCGAACCAAAGAAAGGUACAGAUAAGUAAUUACCAAAUCGUACCCAAAUUCAGCCAAGUCACUAUGAUAUCGAAGACAUAUCAGGUCAAUAACUUGAUAUCGCAAAAUAUCAGGACAGUAGACACGGCUUCUAAUUGGCUAAUAGCAAUUUGGGUACGGCAAACGGCUAUAGCUAGAAUCUCUAUUCAGGAGCUGAGGUAUAUGGGGCGGGAGAGUUGCCUCCUUCGUAACAUUGACGAGGAUAUCUGGUUAGACAGAGUCUUGCUUCUCGGUUUUUCUCAGAAUAUGUCAGUAUUAGCUAUGAGUGUCGUCUGACUUCUUAUAUCCAGUGCAUCUUUCCACGCGAUGUUUCGAUGUAACACGCACGGAUAUUUAGUAGAUUCCUCCAUUUUUUGCAUUUGCAUUUUUUGUUCAUUUUGAUUUGUCAAUGAAUUACACCAGCUUUGGCCAUUUUGUGUGUUGCGUGGGGUUCCGUGUUACAAAAACAGCGGGGAAACUGUUUUGUUGAGGGCAGACCAAUUUAGCCAAAUUAAUCUCGAGAAGAAAAAGCUUUGUUGAAUGGUCUUACAUAAUUACCUUUUAAACGUUCUUUGGAAUGUCCCAAUUGAACUUAUUGAAAGGAACAUAAGUGUACUUGUUGUGGUUGACAUGAGACGGAUCUCAAAGAAAUUUAAUCGCUUGACUAAACACAGGUGACAGUAGAUAUUCUUGCCCUGUAUCACAUCGUCAUGAAGACUUCAGUGCGCUUGAAUUAAUUUUUAAGUGGGCUGCGUGCUCGGCGACUACACGCAAUUUCGUUGGCCCGGGACGAUGACAAAAUACUGUAGUCAAAAUACUCGAGCGACGAAAAAGGGCUGGGCGCAUUUUUCUCCUAUUUUUCUGAGGACUUCGCCGCACAUUUUCGUGGCUUCGCCGCAUCGUAGCUGUUAUUUAACCAUCGCGCGAGAAAAGUACCAGCAGCAACAUAGACACUGCAACGCGCGCGUAUCCAGCAAGCGGUUAGAGAAAACACGCGGGAAAUUAAAAGCUACGGACCUCGACGCCAAGAGUCGAUGCUGGCCUGAGUGUUCUGUUAAUUUUUCAAGUGGUCUUAAUAACCGCGAAGAGACACAAACCAAAAAUCUGGAUUCAUGAACACAGUUCGUUGAAGGGCUGCCAGGGCUGGAUGGGAAGCUGGUCAGACUAGCUGAACAAUGGCGCUGUUUUAGAUGAUUUCAAUUAGUGAGUGAAGAGAACGAUACAACAGCAUUUCGACUUGAAAUGGUAUGAGCUAAAUGCCUUGAAACAUAGGGAUGCCUUAGAGUGAACAGGGAAUGGUGUACCUUUGUUGGCGUGGAGAGCUGCAUAUGUCAUACUUGCCCUUCAUAAGAAAAGUUAUGUUCUAGGAGCUUUACCCCAAGUCAAAGAAUGAGCGAGCCGUUAUUAAGAGGAAUGUUGGUGGCGUUAAUUUCCUGCUUCUGGAUAAUGAAAUGCGAGGGUGCUGUCUCAGUGAGUGCAAGACAUAAUGCCCCCGAGGGCGACAAAACCAGUAUUAACUGCUCGGUGACAGACGAAGCGUUCACUGGAUGGUUUGACUCCAGCGGACGAAAAAUAACCAGUGACUCAUCACAAAGAAUUCAUGUGCGAGCAGAUGGAAGUCUUAAGUAUCUGGAGAUCAGCAAGGUCAAUAGAACGGACCGCGGCACCUACGAAUGCCGAGGAAAGACGAAAAAGGCGCAAGUUAUGUUACUUGUGGAAUGUAUGUAUCAUAAAUGGGGGAGUAAGUUACCUAAGCCCUUUAUAAGCCCCUACCGCUUCCCAGAUUUAAUUUCACGACAAACGUAAAUAGAUAAAAACCAUCGAACUUCUCCACAAUGGUCACCUUGGGGACAGAGGAAAGUGGCCGUCGCAGGAAAGUGGUCGUUAU